This 497-nucleotide ribosomal RNA is filed under the name uncultured bacterium. RNAcentral's name for it is "partial 16S ribosomal RNA". It matches the Rfam family "Bacterial small subunit ribosomal RNA", at positions 28 to 507 of the family's 1533-position model. The record is from RNAcentral.
GAUGAACGCUGGCGGCGUGCCUAAUACAUGCAAGUCGAGCGAACGGACGAGAAGCUUGCUUCUCUGAUGUUAGCGGCGGACGGGUGAGUAACACGUGGAUAACCUACCUAUAAGACUGGGAUAACUUCGGGAAACCGGAGCUAAUACCGGAUAAUAUUUUGAACCGCAUGGUUCAAAAGUGAAAGACGGUCUUGCUGUCACUUAUAGAUGGAUCCGCGCUGCAUUAGCUAGUUGGUAAGGUAACGGCUUACCAAGGCAACGAUGCAUAGCCGACCUGAGAGGGUGAUCGGCCACACUGGAACUGAGACACGGUCCAGACUCCUACGGGAGGCAGCAGUAGAGAAUCUUCCGCAAUGAGCGAAAGCCUGACGGAGCAACGCCGCGUGAGUGAUGAAGGUCUUCGGAUCGUGAAACUCUGUUAUUAGGGAAGAACAUAUGUGUAAGUAACUGUGCACAUCUUGACGGUACCUAAUCAGAAAGCCACGGCUAACUACGUG